Manis pentadactyla (Chinese pangolin) is the source of this 134-nucleotide small nuclear RNA. RefSeq annotates it as U11 spliceosomal RNA. The transcript has a single exon. NCBI's taxonomy places the organism in Eukaryota, Metazoa, Chordata, Mammalia, Pholidota, Manidae. The record is from RefSeq and is a predicted model, not a curated record.
AAAAAGGACCUCUGUUGUGAGUGGCUCAUGUGGGACAGUUUGCUUGCUCUUUGUGAAGAAUCGAUAUCAAGUGAUUUUGGAAGCCUAAUUUUUUGGUACUUGUGGAGCUGGUGACCAUUGGUCCCAGCACCCCU